UGCCCACUGAGAUUAUUGAAUGGCUGCGGUAUAUUGACCGUACUAAGGUAGCAUAAUCAUUAGUUUUUUAAUUGGGAACUGGAAUGAAUGAUUGAAUGAAAAAAUAACUGUCUCUGUUUAAUUUAAUGAAUUUUAUUUUUAAGUAAAAAAGCUUAAAUAUUUUUAAAAGACGAGAAGACCCUAUAGAGUUUUAUAUAAAUUUAUAUUUUAAUUUUUAGUAAUUUAAAGUUUUAUGUAAAAAUUUAUUUAAUUGGGGUGAUUGGAAAAUUAAAUUAACUUUUCUUAUUUUUUACCAUAAAUUUAUGAAUAAAUGAUCUUGAAUUAUGAUUAAAAGAAAAAAUUACCUUAGGGAUAACAGCGUAAUUUUUUUUUAGAGUUCAAAUUAAAAAAAAAGAUUGCGACCUCGAUGUUGGAUUAAAAUUUAUUUUUGGUGCAGAAGUUA
Molecule: ribosomal RNA, 442 nt
Filed under: Hippopsis sp. IBE JGZ-3865
Lineage: Eukaryota; Metazoa; Arthropoda; Insecta; Coleoptera; Cerambycidae
Description: partial large subunit ribosomal RNA
Source: RNAcentral